This is an RNA transcript of Helianthus annuus (common sunflower), 1472 nucleotides long. RefSeq lists it as uncharacterized. The record is from RefSeq and is a predicted model, not a curated record. NCBI's taxonomy places the organism in Eukaryota, Viridiplantae, Streptophyta, Magnoliopsida, Asterales, Asteraceae. The transcript is spliced from 4 exons.
AACCCAACCCAUUCCUCCUUUCCUUUUAUUUCAGCCGUGAACAACACAACUGAUUUUCUCUUCCUCUCUCGAACAAGAUGACCGGAGCUUGGGAUUCCGGCCGGUGCCGACUCCGACAAACCCGCACACCUACCUCCUACACCUCUCUUCCUCUGAUAACACCUAUACCCCCCCCCCCUCUUCGAUGUAUGAAACGGACCACCACCAUCGUCGGGUGGUGGUGGUGAGCGACAGCUGGCCCAUAGAUAACGACGACAGAGAGAGAGAGAGAGAUCGGCGAAGGUUAAUCGGGGCCGGCCACCUCUCACGGUGGCGCGACAGCGAGUCGAUGGCGGAGCCGUCGCACCGUCGUCCAGAAACGCCGCAAAUCAGCGGCAAUGUGGUGGAGGCGGUGGUGUUUUGAUGGCGGCUGUUGUGGUGUUACGAGCUCCGUCAGUCUUGGCUCCAGCUUUCUUCUCCGGUUGUUGACAAUGGUGAUGACUUGCUAAAGGUUGAAGAUGACGUUGAUGACGGGGGUGGCAGUCGACGGCGGAGGAGGUGUUGUCGGCUUGGGUUUCGGUUCGGGUUUCAGAUAUGGUUCUGGCCGACUGACGACGCGGGGGCAGUGGCGGUGUUAUUCUGGGCUCCGGAUCUUUGUUGGUUUGGUCAACCACGAGUCCGACAUGUUUCAGCUUCUUCAGGUUCAGUUUGGAGUUCUGUGUUUCCAUUCAAGGUUGCGGAUUCAGAUUAUGUUACAAGAAGAUUCGGUUCAAAUUAUGGUUUCGGUUCGAGCUUGCAGUAAAUUGGGUCAGAAAUUGGUUCAAGUGGAUUUGUUUCGGGUUUCAGGUUCGAGUCAAGGAGGUCAACGGGUCAACUUAGUUUCUGUUCGGGUCAACCCGGUCAAACCGAGUCCACACGGGUCAACACUUGGUCAACAGCAGUCAACACUCGGUCAACUCACGAGACCCGGAAUGUCGUAGUUGCACGCUAGCUAAAUACACGUUCUUGGAACAACACUACGGAAAGGCUAGCUUUGCCCAGGAAUGUCAAGGUUGCAUUUUUCAAAACUACGGAACGGUUGGAAUAGGAGAACCCCACAGGAUUCGAGUACUUAGCGGCGUUCACUUGCUAGAAGUCUUAGCUUAUUUGCUUCCGCUGUGCAAUGAAGAUACCGGUCCAGUCACGCCAGCUCUGAUAUUUCGGGGUGUGACACUGGUGGGGGGGAUAUUCUGAGGUGGGAUUAUUAAUGGCCAAUAAGGUCUAGGUGGGAUUAUUACAGGCCAAUUCCCCUUUACAAUUCUAACAAACACAUAAAGAACCAUAUCUAGGUUUUCAAUAUUUAAGAUUUAAAAUAAUAAUAUGCAAUGACAUUUUUGUAAUUAUGUGAAACAUCAAAUACAAACUUUUUGGUUGCAGUAUCGUAUAAAUUUAAUAGUAUAUUGUAUGCAUUGUUAUUUCACAAAGGGGCUGAAAUUUUAUAUAGUGGAAAUAUC